Rhinolophus ferrumequinum (greater horseshoe bat) is the source of this 2790-nucleotide long non-coding RNA. The record is from Ensembl. Lineage: Eukaryota; Metazoa; Chordata; Mammalia; Chiroptera; Rhinolophidae.
CAUAGGGAACAAGUGAGCAAGGUGGGCAGACGGCCCCCAGCCAGGCCCAGAACACCUCAGGCCUUCCUCUGUCAUGCAGGCCUCUGGGCCACGGAGACUGGGACCUACCGUGGACCCUCUACAACACGCAGGGCACGGAGCUUAAGAGCUUCCCAGCAAUCUCCCCAACACCUCCCGGUUGGGAGCCUCUCACAGAAGCACGAGGGUGGGGGGAGGGAGCUCAGAUAGCAGAAGGGGUGGACUAAGGUCCGUGGGAGGCCAGAGUAAGGUCCCAAGUGGGAGCCACCGAGCCCGGAGAACGUGAAAAGGGCCCCGAUGGUCCUCGCCUCCCUUCUGACCUGCCCAAGGAGGCUUCCCGGAGGAGGGAGCUCCCUCUUCCUGUCACCUGGAUCAGAGCUCAGCGGCCUCCCGGAAGCAGCGCUGUCUCCCUGCUCGGACCGUGCUACUGUAAGGCUUCUUUAUUUGAUCUACAGCCCGCUCCCCCGCGUCGGCUGUCGGGCGCGCAAGGGGUUGCGUGCGCCGCAACGGGUGUCUCCAAGGGGCGAGCACCCCGGGAACCCCACUUCUCGCGGUGGCCUCCAGCGGGAAGCAACGGUUUCCACAGUACCGGGGGACCGACCCUACCGUGGGACCGCCCUGGCAGGGGCGGGGGUCAGGCACCCCGGCGCCGCAGCUCCGGAACCCCAGGACCGACUCCAAGUUCAGUCUGCAAUCGCGAAGUGGGCGUGUGAGUUUCCUACGCCGUCUUCCGGGGAGACGCGCGGCGCAGACGCAGACAGACUUCGCCCCUCAAGCGCAGAGGUGGGGGUGCGCACGCACAGCGGCGGGCGGGGUGUCAUCCCGGCGCCGCGCUCCCAACCCCUGCCGGGAAGCUGGUCGUGCGCGCGCCGCGGCAGGGGAGUAGGCGGGGCUGCGGAUGGCCCUCCCCAUUCCCCAGCGUUCCCCGCGGCAGCAGGCACUGACGUGGCCGCCGUCAGAGCCGCCAUCUUGUGGGAGCAAAACCAACGCCUGGCUCGGAGCAGCAGCUGUGCCUCGGCCGCUGAGGGUGUGACCAGAGGUUGGAAGAGGCCUGUUGCGAAGUUGCUGUGGCCUCCCGGGCAAGACCAGCUUCUUGAAGGGUGAAGUGGAGGGCGUCCUGAACCCCUGCACCUCUUGAGUGUUGUGAGCUGGCUGCCUCCCUGACAAGGGUCACAGGAGGAGGGGCAGGUGGGGGGGCUUUCCUCAAAGGUGGGGGGAUCCAGUGGAGGUUUUCACCCCAUGCUGCCACUGUCCUCUUCUGUGUCUUCCAGGAGCCAUCUCUCCGAAAAAGGUGGGGCUGCAAGUUUUAAAAUUUUGUUCUUAAAAUGAAAGAUCUCUGAAAGCAAAAAUCAAAUUGGAGAUUGGUUUAAUCCCUCACCAAAGCCCCUGUUGAGAAAGCCUCUGGGGGCCACCUGCUACUCUUGAGUGCUUGAAGGGGCUCUGAGGGCUUGUGCUUACAGUUUCCGUUCUCUUCGAGGGUGUGGAGAGGGGUCUCAGAGGCCCAUCCUAGUGCUGGGAGAGGGCCUGUGUCUGCACAGUGCGUGUGGGCGGCUGCUUUGAGAAGGCACCAGAACAGAGACUGCAGAGGCUUCAGCACGUUUGCAGUGACCACAUGAUUAACGAAGUGGAGUGACGAAAACAAAUGAAUGGGAUUUACUUCACAACAGAAAUCAGAAUCCUGAAGCGUUUUCUUUUUGUGUUCUCACUACUAGAACUGAAACCCAAGACUGUUGUGACUGGUGUGCCCGCCCUUUCUCUGUCAGGGCUGUGGGGGGUUGGCAUCUGAUUGUGUGCAUAUCUGCAUUGAGAGGGCCGCAGUGUCACUGAGGAGCAGCAGCCUUUGACAUUGCUUGACCCAGAGGCCUCUAAGCCAGGGGUGUCCAAACUUUUUUCAACGUUUUUCACCAAGGGCCAUAUGUGGUAAAAUACACAAAGAGCCGGGCCACUCACUCGAGGUGAAGUACGUAUUGCCUCACCUGGUUUAUUUAAGUAAACGAAACAUAUUUUUGGAGUUUGCUGCGGGCCAAUUAACAAUGGAUCGUGGGCUGCAGUUUGGACACCCCUGCUCUAAGCUCUAGUUUAUUGAUACGGUGAGGUGGAAGGCAGACACCAGCAUUCUCCAUUUUCUCCAUCUGUUAGUUGGAGUCACUGAGUAUUGCUAGCCUCUAUGUGCCCAGUGCUGUUCUCCUGGCACAGCUCCUCCUUUUCUGAGUGGUGACUGUUGGCCCUGUGGUGUGUCAAGUGUGCGCUGAGAAUAGAGAGGAAAGGACCACUUCCUGUGGAAGGUGGUGGCUGGCAUCUAAGCUUGGCUGCAGAGGUUGAGGGAAGGGCCGAGUGGACACAGCUUGAAGAAUCAAAGGUGUGGCGAAGGCGCUGGGGUCAGACAUGCCCAAGCUCCUUGCUGAGUGAGGCCUCUAAACCAAUCCCAAACUGCUGGUCCUCUGGUUCCCAGCAGAGGGAUGGGAUUGAAAGACUGGGUGGGAUUGAAAGACAAUUUUAAUUGACUUCCAAAGGACCACUAAUAAUCUGCACUAUUAGUGAGGGGUUGGUGGUAGGUGGUAGGACACUUUUCAGGGUGUCUGGGUGGUUUAGAGUUGCCUGUGGUUUCUCAAGUCCCGCUUUGCAUUUUAGUCAUGAAUUUAGUUUUCUCCAUUUUAAGUUCGUUGCACAUUUUAUGUUGUGGAUUGACACAAAAUAGUAUUUUUCAUCUUUAUUUUUUUCCAGUAACAAGUCCCUCAGACAAUUGUGCUUCGGGUCAGACAGAAGGUAUCU